GGCUCAGAACGAACGCUGGCGGCGCGCCUAAUACAUGCAAGUCGAGCGAGAAGGUGUAGCAAUACACUUGUAAAGCGGCGAACGGGUGAGGAAUACAUGGGUAAUCUACCAUCGAGUGGGGAAUAACCAGCCGAAAGGUUGGCUAAUACCGCGUACGCCUCCGGAUCUUCGGGUUCGGAGGGAAAGCCACACUGUGAGUGCAGCGCUCUUUGAUGAGCUCAUGUCCUAUCAGCUUGUUGGUAGGGUAACGGCCUACCAAGGCUUUGACGGGUAGCUGGUCUGAGAGGACGAUCAGCCACACUGGCACUGCGACACGGGCCAGACUCCUACGGGAGGCAGCAGUAAGGAAUAUUGCGCAAUGGGCGAAAGCCUGACGCAGCGACGCCGCGUGGGGGACGAAGGUCUUCGGAUUGUAAACCCCUUUCGGGAGGGAAGAUGGGAUGGGUAACCAUUCGGACGGUACCUCCAGAAGCAGCCACGGCUAACUUCGUGCCAGCAGCCGCGGUAAUACGAAGGUGGCAAGCGUUGUUCGGAUUCACUGGGCGUACAGGGAGCGUAGGCGGUUGGGUAAGCCCUCCGUGAAAUCUCCAGGCUUAACCUGGAAAGUGCAGAGGGGACUGCUCAGCUAGAGGAUGGGAGAGGAGCGCGGAAUUCCCGGUGUAGCGGUGAAAUGCGUAGAGA
RNAcentral lists this ribosomal RNA (681 nucleotides) under uncultured nitrite-oxidizing bacterium. Its description in RNAcentral is "bacterial SSU rRNA". It matches the Rfam family "Bacterial small subunit ribosomal RNA", at positions 21 to 696 of the family's 1533-position model. The record is from RNAcentral.